UCUCCGUUGGUGAACCAGCGGAGGGAUCAUUACUGAGUUCUACAAAACUCCCAACCCUUUGUGAAUUAUACCUUAGUUGCCUCGGCGUCGAGCGAGUCACCUACCCGGGAGCUACCCUGGAGUCACCUACCCUGUAGAACCUACCCUGUAGGACCUACCCUGUAGACGGCUACCCUGGAGCUACCCUGUAGUUGCACUUUUGCGUCGCCGGUGGACUACCAAACUCUUAUAUGUAUAGUGUAUCUCUGAAUUCUUAACAAAAUUAGUUAAAACUUUCAACAACGGAUCUCUUGGUUCUGGCAUCGAUGAAGAACGCAGC
Molecule: unclassified non-coding RNA, 319 nt
Filed under: uncultured fungus
Lineage: Eukaryota; Fungi
Description: sequence contains ITS1, 5.8S rRNA gene
Rfam family: 5.8S ribosomal RNA (bases 271-319)
Source: RNAcentral